Molecule: small nuclear RNA, 101 nt
Organism: Oryctolagus cuniculus (rabbit)
Lineage: Eukaryota; Metazoa; Chordata; Mammalia; Lagomorpha; Leporidae
Gene: U2
Rfam family: U2 spliceosomal RNA
About the family: U2 is a small nuclear RNA (snRNA) component of the spliceosome (involved in pre-mRNA splicing). Complementary binding between U2 snRNA (in an area lying towards the 5' end but 3' to hairpin I) and the branchpoint sequence (BPS) of the intron results the bulging out of an unpaired adenosine, on the BPS, which initiates a nucleophilic attack at the intronic 5' splice site, thus starting the first of two transesterification reactions that mediate splicing.
Source: Ensembl
AUCGCUUCUCGGCCUUUUGGCUAAGAUCAAAUGUAGUAUCUGUUCUUAUCAGUUUAUUUUGUCUAUACAAGGAAUAUAGGCAAUAUAUGAACCCACCUUCA